RNAcentral lists this ribosomal RNA (698 nucleotides) under Staphylococcus haemolyticus. Its description in RNAcentral is "bacterial SSU rRNA". It matches the Rfam family "Bacterial small subunit ribosomal RNA", at positions 71 to 753 of the family's 1533-position model. The record is from RNAcentral. Lineage: Bacteria; Bacillati; Bacillota; Bacilli; Caryophanales; Staphylococcaceae.
ACAAGGAGCUUGCUCCUUUGACGUUAGCGGCGGACGGGUGAGUAACACGUGGGUAACCUACCUAUAAGACUGGGAUAACUUCGGGAAACCGGAGCUAAUACCGGAUAAUAUUUCGAACCGCAUGGUUCGAUAGUGAAAGAUGGUUUUGCUAUCACUUAUAGAUGGACCCGCGCCGUAUUAGCUAGUUGGUAAGGUAACGGCUUACCAAGGCGACGAUACGUAGCCGACCUGAGAGGGUGAUCGGCCACACUGGAACUGAGACACGGUCCAGACUCCUACGGGAGGCAGCAGUAGGGAAUCUUCCGCAAUGGGCGAAAGCCUGACGGAGCAACGCCGCGUGAGUGAUGAAGGUCUUCGGAUCGUAAAACUCUGUUAUUAGGGAAGAACAUACGUGUAAGUAACUAUGCACGUCUUGACGGUACCUAAUCAGAAAGCCACGGCUAACUACGUGCCAGCAGCCGCGGUAAUACGUAGGUGGCAAGCGUUAUCCGGAAUUAUUGGGCGUAAAGCGCGCGUAGGCGGUUUUUUAAGUCUGAUGUGAAAGCCCACGGCUCAACCGUGGAGGGUCAUUGGAAAACUGGAAAACUUGAGUGCAGAAGAGGAAAGUGGAAUUCCAUGUGUAGCGGUGAAAUGCGCAGAGAUAUGGAGGAACACCAGUGGCGAAGGCGACUUUCUGGUCUGUAACUGACGCUGAUGUG